GGUGGGGUUCCCGAGCGGCCAAAGGGAGCAGACUGUAAAUCUGCCGUCACAGACUUCGAAGGUCGGCAGUUCGAAUCUGCCUAUCAGCACCA
Molecule: transfer RNA, 92 nt
Filed under: Salmonella enterica subsp. enterica serovar Paratyphi A
Lineage: Bacteria; Pseudomonadati; Pseudomonadota; Gammaproteobacteria; Enterobacterales; Enterobacteriaceae
Description: tRNA-Tyr
Rfam family: tRNA
About the family: Transfer RNA (tRNA) molecules are approximately 80 nucleotides in length. Their secondary structure includes four short double-helical elements and three loops (D, anti-codon, and T loops).
Source: RNAcentral